This 429-nucleotide ribosomal RNA is filed under the name Chloroflexota bacterium. RNAcentral describes it as "Chloroflexi bacterium partial 16S ribosomal RNA". It matches the Rfam family "Bacterial small subunit ribosomal RNA", at positions 355 to 776 of the family's 1533-position model. Lineage: Bacteria; Bacillati; Chloroflexota. The record is from RNAcentral.
UGGGGAAUAUUGCACAAUGGGCGCAAGCCUGAUGCAGCCAUGCCGCGUGUAUGAAGAAGGCCUUCGGGUUGUAAAGUACUUUCAGCGGGGAGGAAGGGAGUAAAGUUAAUACCUUUGCUCAUUGACGUUACCCGCAGAAGAAGCACCGGCUAACUCCGUGCCAGCAGCCGCGGUAAUACGGAGGGUGCAUGCGUUAAUCGGAAUUACUGGGCGUAAAGCGCACGCAGGCGGUUUGUUAAGUCAGAUGUGAAAUCCUCGGGCUCAACCUGGGAACUGCAUCUGAUACUGGCAAGCUUGAGUCUCGUAGAGGGGGGUAGAAUUCCAGGUGUAGCGGUGAAAUGCGUAGAGAUCUGGAGGAAUACCGGUGGCGAAGGCGGCCCCCUGGACGAAGACUGACGCUCAGGUGCGAAAGCGUGGGGAGCAAACAGG